This 372-nucleotide ribosomal RNA is filed under the name uncultured bacterium. RNAcentral's name for it is "bacterial SSU rRNA". It matches the Rfam family "Bacterial small subunit ribosomal RNA", at positions 377 to 763 of the family's 1533-position model. The record is from RNAcentral.
GAAAGCCUGACGGAGCGAUGCCGCGUGAUUGAUGAAGUCCUUCGGGACGUAAAGAUCUUUUAUGCGUGAGAAAGUAAUUGAUAGUAGCGCAUGAAUAAGGGGCUCCUAACUCUGUGCCAGCAGGAGCGGUAAUACAGAGGCCCCGAGCAUUAUCCGGAAUCACUGGGCGUAAAGGGUGUGUAGGCGGUUGUGUUAGUCGUUUGUGAAAGAUCUCGGCUUAACCCGGGAGACGCAUGCGAAACGGCACGACUAGAGGAUAUGAGAGGUAUAGGGAACUCAUGGUGUAGGGGUGAAAUCCGUUGAUAUCAUGGGGAACACCAAAUGCGAAGGCACUAUACUGGCAUAUUCCUGACGCUGAGACACGAAAGCGUG